This 73-nucleotide transfer RNA is filed under the name Pteropus alecto (black flying fox). It matches the Rfam family "tRNA". From Rfam's summary of the family: Transfer RNA (tRNA) molecules are approximately 80 nucleotides in length. Their secondary structure includes four short double-helical elements and three loops (D, anti-codon, and T loops). Further hydrogen bonds mediate the characteristic L-shaped molecular structure. tRNAs have two regions of fundamental functional importance: the anti-codon, which is responsible for specific mRNA codon recognition, and the 3' end, to which the tRNAs corresponding amino acid is attached (by aminoacyl-tRNA synthetases). tRNAs cope with the degeneracy of the genetic code in two manners: having more than one tRNA (with a specific anti-codon) for a particular amino acid; and 'wobble' base-pairing, i.e. permitting non-standard base-pairing at the 3rd anti-codon position. The record is from Rfam by way of RNAcentral. Lineage: Eukaryota; Metazoa; Chordata; Mammalia; Chiroptera; Pteropodidae.
UGUUCCAUAGUGUAGCGGUUAGCACAUCUGCUUUAUGUACAGAAAGUCCUGGGUUCAUGCCCUAGUGGAGCUG